Molecule: long non-coding RNA, 391 nt
Organism: Perognathus longimembris pacificus (Pacific pocket mouse)
Lineage: Eukaryota; Metazoa; Chordata; Mammalia; Rodentia; Heteromyidae
Exons: 3
Source: RefSeq, a predicted model, not a curated record
CAUAGGAUUUGUUAGUGUAUGUGAAUUUAAAUAAAAGAUUAGUUCUCUGUAAUCACACAAAACUGCUAAAAUACACCAUUUCGAAACCAAAUGGCUGGUUUUUAUCAGCUAUUUCCAAAUAGUUUGGCUGACUGACAGAUUACUACAUGCAUGAUACGGAGUUUCUACAAAUCAGUGUUUCUUACUUGGGGAGUAAAUCUGCACCACCUGAAAUUGGGGGCUAACGAGGCUGAGGCAGGAUGAAAGCAUUAGUAACAGUUUCUAAUCAUUGAUCAGUAGUAGCACCUUACCAAUAAUAAUGCCAGCCUACCUCAUGCAGUCAUUGAAUGGGCUACACACAUAGACCUUUGCAUACCAUGGCUUGGUGUCCAGGAAGGGCCAUGAGACUGGC